CACGGAAUUAGCCGGUCCUUAUUCAUGCGGUACAUGCAAUGAUGGACACGUCCAUCACUUUAUCCCCGCAUAAAAGCAGUUUACAACCCAUAGGGCCGUCAUCCUGCACGCUACUUGGCUGGUUCAGACUAUCGUCCAUUGACCAAUAUUCCUCACUGCUGCCUCCCGUAGGAGUUUGGACCGUAUCUCAGUUCCAAUGUGGGGGACCUUCCUCUCAGAACCCCUACUGAUCGUUGCCUCGGUGAGCCAUUACCUCACCGACAAGCUAAUCAGACGCAUCCCCAUCCAUCACCAAUUAAUCUUUCAUCCAAAUUAGAUGCCUGCUUCGGAUGACAUAAGGUUUUAGGCCGUACUUUCGACGGGUUAUCCCUUAGUCAUGGGUAGGUUGGAUACGCGUUACUCACCCGUGCGCCGGUCGCCAUCAAUGAUUGCAAGCAAUCAUCAUGCUGCCCCUGACUGCAUGUGUAGG
This 469-nucleotide ribosomal RNA is filed under the name uncultured Prevotella sp. RNAcentral describes it as "partial 16S ribosomal RNA". The record is from RNAcentral. Lineage: Bacteria; Pseudomonadati; Bacteroidota; Bacteroidia; Bacteroidales; Prevotellaceae.